ACAGAAAAAUUACAGUAUCCACUGUUUUGAGUCUGCUUGGGAUUCUGCUUGGAGCUCUUUCGUAUUACUGCUACAGAAAACAAACGUCAGUGCAAGCUGAUGCUGAGGAAUCUGAACCAGUCUAUAUCAAUAUCAGUGAAAUGAAGAAUGACAGAGCAAAGCGCAGAAGUACACUGGGAAUCAGAGAAAAGAGCCCUGAAACAUACCAUCAUACAAGAAGAUACAGUCAUGAAAUAACAAACACAAAUCUAAGAAAUGAGACACCACCAACAGACAGUGUGACCUAUGCAACAGUUUAUUUCAACAAAUCCAGG
Long non-coding RNA from Danio aesculapii, 314 nucleotides. RefSeq lists it as uncharacterized. The transcript has 5 exons. The record is from RefSeq and is a predicted model, not a curated record. Lineage: Eukaryota; Metazoa; Chordata; Actinopteri; Cypriniformes; Danionidae.